Molecule: long non-coding RNA, 1078 nt
Organism: Dicentrarchus labrax (European seabass)
Lineage: Eukaryota; Metazoa; Chordata; Actinopteri; Moronidae
Exons: 3
Source: RefSeq, a predicted model, not a curated record
AUGUUUAUGUUUGUGUUUGUGUUUGUGUUUAUGUUUAUGUUUGUGUUUAUGUUUGUGUUUAUGUCUGAUAUUCAUUCAUGGGUUCAAACUGUUUUCUGUAAUAUUAAUAAAAGAAACACAAAUACUUUGUGCUCUGGUAAUCUUUCUAUUGUUAAUGCACUUCAAUUAUUAUACUUACACCUUACUAAGGUUAACUGUCAGCCCUGAGUACUGUCUGCAGGUAUUACUACAGCCCUGAGUACUGUCUGCAGGUAUUCCUACAGCCCUGAGUACUGUCUGCAGGUAUUCCUACAGCCCUGAGUACUGUCUCAAGGUAUUACUACAGCCCUGAGUACUGUCUGCAGGUUUCACUACAGCCCUGAGUACUGUCUGCAGGUAUUCCUACAGCCCUGAGUACUGUCUGCAGGUAUUCCUACAGCCCUGAGUACUGUCUGCAGGUAUUACUACAGCCCUGAGUACUGUCUGCAGGUAUUCCUACAGCCCUGAGUACUGUCUGCAGGUAUUCCUACAGCCCUGAGUACUGUCUGCAGGUAUUACUACAGCCCUGAGUACUGUCUGAAGGUAUUACUACAGCCCUGAGUACUGUCUGCAGGUAUUCCUACAGCCCUGAGUACUGUCUGCAGGUAUUACUACAGCCCUGAGUACUGUCUGCAGGUAUUCCUACAGCCCUGAGUACUGUCUGCAGGUAUUCCUACAGCCCUGAGUACUGUCUGCAGGUAUUACUACAGCCCUGAGUACUGUCCUUUGCUUUUUAAAAACGAUUGAAAAUGUUGUAGUAUGCAUGUCAGGCCAGUAGGUGGUGGUGAAACUUUAUUAUUGAUUAUUGUUUUGUCCUCCGUCGACACAGAGGUGGAGAGAGUGUUUGAUGUAAUUAAUGCGUCUCUGCUGAUCACAGUUCCACAGUCCGCCAUCGUAAACAUUGCACUCUGGAACCCGGUUUCAGAGGUUUACAUUUUCAGGCUCUAAAAGGAGACCAAACCGGGUCCGGUGUUGUUCUCGCUCCAAACUAACUGCAACAGCGUUGGUUUUUAUAUUUUUACAUACAAACAUGAUGAAGUACAGUAAGUAAAUGUGGACG